UCAAUUAAUUCUUUCAUUAAACUAUGUUUUGAAUUACUACACCAUGUAACACACCAACACCCCAAAUAACAGAUGUAAUCACAUGACAACAAAAUUAUAAAAAAAACAGUGAUAUGCCUAAAAAGAAACCUUUUUUGCUCAAAUACAUAAGCACUGUUCCUCUCUUAAAGCACCAUGAUGGCUCACUUAUUUGAUGCCUUGCUAACUUUUGAUUUUUUUUUCAGCAUAUAAAACUACUCUAAGUUAAUAACUUUAUGCAAAUUCUACAAUCAAAAUCAAAAUGCUAGUUUACGGUACAUACAUCGUAAAUACCUAACACAACUUAUAGAUCUAAUAACUUGACAAGGAAAUAAUGAAACUAGAACUAUUACAUCACAUAUAUUCAAUACAUGUAUCAAAUAGUCAAAAGGAGCACAGCAUAUUCAUGGCAUGAAACAGAUCAUAGAAGCUCGAAUUAUCUCAUUCUCAUUCUCAUUCAUCAUUGAAUCGAGAAUUAUAACAUCAAUUGAGGGAGUUACCUGAAAUGUAGAAACACCAAAAUACAGCAGAAUGAAUGAAAUUCCAGCACAAAUGACAACCAAAAACAGCAACAACCAGCAGCAAAUCGGUAACUUUUGACCCGAGAAACAACCCAGAAAAGACCCUUAAACUUAGUAACUUUUAAAGAAGAAGGAUCCCAGCAAUCAACUACAACACUCUUAUACUUUUGAAAGGUCUUGCUCACAGAGAAUUCACUCACAAAAGCUCACUACUUUCAGCUUACUACUAAGUAUUCAAAUGCUAUUUUUUACUCUCUAAGUAUUUGUGUGUUCAUUUAGAGUAAAAGAUGUUUUCUAAGUGUGAUAGAGUGUGUCUAAAGUGAGGAAAUGGCAGCCCUUAAGUAGGCCAAGAAAGUCACUUUUGGACAGAUUUUGGUUCACCAAAAGUCUGUUAAAAAAGAACUGACUUUGUGUGCUAAACACUGUUCAAAGGCUGUCCAAAAGGUGAAAGGACAGCCUGAAAAUCUGUUACGUCAGAAGCAAGGAAAAAAAUAUCAUUUCGGCCACCCUAAUAGUAAAAAGUAAGCCACUAGUACCCUAGGUCAUGAUCAAACCCAUCUAAACUUCAAAUUUUAACAACAUCAAUGCCACCCUAUUGAUUUUGAACCAAAUCAAACUCAAACAACUAAGAAUUGACAAAACAGAAACAAAGACUUCAAAUGGAACUAAAACUCAAACUAACUAGAUUAAAACAAAUUGAUUUGUACAAACUAAACAUAGAACAAACAACUGAAUUCACAAACUAAUUCUAAAAAUAGAACGUGGAUCGUUAACAAUCAGACGACGACGUACAACAGCUAAACAAUUGAUUAACUAAGUAAACGAUUUAACUAAUAUACUAAAGAUUACGUUUAAUUAAUAACAGUCUAACAAACAACUAAACUAAAUAGAUAUAACUAAUUAAAUAAACCUAACUUGAAACUCUAAUUAACAACAAACAACCAAAACAAAAAAAUUAAAAUUCAGAAACUAACCUACUAAUAAUAAAAAAACCUAGAAAUUAAUUAAAGACAUGACAAUUAUACCUAACGAGCGUGCUUGAUACUGUUCGAGCCAUGAGAAGACGCGUGAGAUGCCAAGAGGCGGCUGUCCUACCCCGAUACACAAAUUGGCUUUUAGCAAACACCCAAAAUAUGUAAGUUUUGGCAUCAUACUAGAAGGGAACAUGAGUCUUUGGGUCGAGUGGGCUAAACAAUGAGGUAGUGGUGGCUUUGGGUGGUCGCUGGCCGGCGGAGGACGAGUUUUGGGGGAAAAUUAGUGAUCUUGGGUCGUGAAAUUGAGUAGAGGAGAGUGGGGGUGUAAACGUUUCCGAGUUUGGGGGUGGUGAGCGACAACUAGGGUUUUGGUUAGGCUUAGAUUUAUAGAGAUUGAGAGUGGUUAUGGGGAUUUGGGGUUAGGAUUAGUGUAGAGGAUGAAGAGAGGAAGAGAAUGGUAUAAAUUUUGUGGUGUUUGGGCGACGGUCACCGCCAGUGGGCAAUUUCCGGCGGCGGAGCUGGCAGAGAGGGGAAAGAGAAUAGAGAGGAAGAAGAAAGGGGGAGAGGAGAAGAGAAAAUAAGGGGAACAC
RNAcentral lists this long non-coding RNA (2103 nucleotides) under Nicotiana tabacum (common tobacco). RNAcentral's name for it is "long non-coding RNA (NTAB_LNC015385)". The record is from RNAcentral. Lineage: Eukaryota; Viridiplantae; Streptophyta; Magnoliopsida; Solanales; Solanaceae.